This 407-nucleotide ribosomal RNA is filed under the name uncultured bacterium. Its description in RNAcentral is "partial 16S ribosomal RNA". It matches the Rfam family "Bacterial small subunit ribosomal RNA", at positions 30 to 526 of the family's 1533-position model. The record is from RNAcentral.
AUUGAACGCUGGCGGCAGGCCUAACACAUGCAAGUCGAGCGGAGCGGCAGACGGGGGAGUAAUGCCUAGGAAUCUGCCUGGUAGUGAGGGAUAACGUCCGGAAACGGGCGCUAAUACCGCAUACUAUCAGAUGAGCCUAGGUCUGAUUAGCUAGUGUGUGGGGUAAAGGCCUACCAAGGCGACGAUGCGUAACUGGUCUGAGAGGAUGAUCAGUAACACUGGACGUGAGACACGGUCCAGACUCCUACGGGAGGCAGCAGUGGGGAAGAGUGGACAAUGGGCGAAAGCCUGAUCCAGCCAUGCCGCGUGUGUGAAGAAGGUCUUCGGAUUGUAAAGCACUUUAAGUUGGGAGGCGUUACCAACAGAAUAAGCACCGGCUAACUUCGUGCCAGCAGCCGCGGUAAUAC